This 102-nucleotide small RNA is filed under the name Caenorhabditis brenneri. Its description in RNAcentral is "SL2 RNA". It matches the Rfam family "SL2 RNA". Rfam says of the family: This family represents SL2 RNA. SL2 RNA is involved in trans splicing in lower eukaryotes. Lineage: Eukaryota; Metazoa; Nematoda; Chromadorea; Rhabditida; Rhabditidae. The record is from Rfam by way of RNAcentral.
GGUUUUGGCCCAGUAACCAAGGUUAGCUGUCGUUUCGAACUCUCGAAAGAGUGCGUCGAAUAACUAAAAUUUCUGGAAACGCCUUCGGCGUUAUCCGAAGAG